GGCCGCAUUCCGCAACGGUAGCGCGUCAGAUUCCAGAAAUUGGAACUUCCUGAAGGCUCUCUGUUCGAAUCAGGGUGUGGUCA
Molecule: non-coding RNA, 83 nt
Organism: Phaeosphaeriaceae sp. PMI808
Lineage: Eukaryota; Fungi; Ascomycota; Dothideomycetes; Pleosporales; Phaeosphaeriaceae
Source: the annotation of a GenBank genome assembly